GGGUCCAUGGCGCAGUUGGUAGCGCGUCUCGUUCGCAAUGAGAAGGUCGGGAGUUCGAAUCUCCCUGGAUCCACCG
Molecule: transfer RNA, 76 nt
Filed under: Candidatus Lumbricidiphila eiseniae
Lineage: Bacteria; Bacillati; Actinomycetota; Actinomycetes; Micrococcales; Microbacteriaceae
Description: Candidatus Lumbricidophila eiseniae tRNA-Ala
Rfam family: tRNA
About the family: Transfer RNA (tRNA) molecules are approximately 80 nucleotides in length. Their secondary structure includes four short double-helical elements and three loops (D, anti-codon, and T loops). Further hydrogen bonds mediate the characteristic L-shaped molecular structure. tRNAs have two regions of fundamental functional importance: the anti-codon, which is responsible for specific mRNA codon recognition, and the 3' end, to which the tRNAs corresponding amino acid is attached (by aminoacyl-tRNA synthetases). tRNAs cope with the degeneracy of the genetic code in two manners: having more than one tRNA (with a specific anti-codon) for a particular amino acid; and 'wobble' base-pairing, i.e. permitting non-standard base-pairing at the 3rd anti-codon position.
Source: RNAcentral